RNAcentral lists this ribosomal RNA (253 nucleotides) under uncultured bacterium. RNAcentral describes it as "partial 16S ribosomal RNA". It matches the Rfam family "Bacterial small subunit ribosomal RNA", at positions 524 to 776 of the family's 1533-position model. The record is from RNAcentral.
UACGUAGGGCGCGAGCGUUGUCCGGAUUUAUUGGGCGUAAAGAGCUCGUAGGCGGUUUGUCGCGUCGGCCGUGAAAUCUCCACGCUUAACGUGGAGCGUGCGGUCGAUACGGGCAGACUUGAGUUCGGUAGGGGAGACUGGAAUUCCUGGUGUAGCGGUGAAAUGCGCAGAUAUCAGGAGGAACACCGGUGGCGAAGGCGGGUCUCUGGGCCGAUACUGACGCUGAGGAGCGAAAGCGUGGGGAGCGAACAGG